Molecule: unclassified non-coding RNA, 89 nt
Filed under: Pseudomonas jessenii
Lineage: Bacteria; Pseudomonadati; Pseudomonadota; Gammaproteobacteria; Pseudomonadales; Pseudomonadaceae
Source: RNAcentral
UGUGGGAGCGAGCUUGCUCGCGAUGAGGUCGGCACAUUCGACAUCUCUUUGACUGGGCCACCGCUAUCGCGAGCAAGCUCGCUCCCACA